GUAGGAGUUAGCAAAGUGAAGGUGAGGGUGAUGAGGAAGGAAAGCUUUGUCUUCACCUUUUUAAGGUACAGAUGGACUGAAAGCACAUUAGAUCAUUGAAAGGGAUGAUUGAUAGAAAGAGAGAAGGAUGAAGUUGCAGCAGAGAGGGGGCGACUGGAGUUGUGUGGUCUCUAAGAAGGGGAAAGGCGAGGACAAGUAGGUGGGUCCUGGAAUCUGGUAGGACAUAUGCUUCAACAGAGGGAAGAAGGAGCAGAUGGAGUACACAUCUAGCACUGGGAGAAUUUGCAAUUCUAAACAAAGUUUGAAGGAUUUGAAUACAGUCCUUCCUUCUAAGGAAUUUGAAUUGAUCUAUACAUACAUCAUUGGUCCUCAUCGAAUCUUGAGGCGAGAGCUGGCAGAUGUCUUUAUGUUACAGAUGGUUCCUCAUGUGGCUGCUCUCUCUGCACACCGCCUGGAAAGCUUGCAGUGGACAUGGAGAAUCCAUCACCCAGACAGGUGCCGGUUCUAUAAACCUUCGGAGUGGGUAAGUACUGUAUGGACAAGAGGGACACAUUUUCCUCUGUGUUUUACAAUUCCUUUGUGACAUCUACGCUUAUUUAAUUAUAACUCACGAUUGCUCUUUCUAGGAAUAAUGUCUGUUUAUUCAGGGCCUCUUCGGAAGGCUAGAAAAGGGGCAAAUGAAACAGCUCUUAACCAUUUCCUCUUGUAUUUCUUAUUUUUCUCCUCCAAAAGGGUAAUGACAAAGUGAAUGAGAAAAAUAAAUGCAUAUUAUUCAGACUUGGAAGCUGUAGAAUGUAGAAUGGGAACUAAAACGCCAAAUGUUUAGAUCUGC
RNAcentral lists this long non-coding RNA (832 nucleotides) under Microcebus murinus (gray mouse lemur). Its description in RNAcentral is "lncRNA (ENSMICG00000048629.1)". Lineage: Eukaryota; Metazoa; Chordata; Mammalia; Primates; Cheirogaleidae. The record is from RNAcentral.